RNAcentral lists this ribosomal RNA (449 nucleotides) under uncultured bacterium. RNAcentral describes it as "partial 16S ribosomal RNA". It matches the Rfam family "Bacterial small subunit ribosomal RNA", at positions 29 to 523 of the family's 1533-position model. The record is from RNAcentral.
AACGAACGCUGGCGGCAGGCUUAAGACAUGCAAGUCGAACGAUGUAGCAAUACAUAGUGGCGCACGGGUGAGUAACGCGUGGGAAUCUGCCCAUUAGUACGGAAUAACAGUUGGAAACGACUGCUAAUACCGUAUACGCCCUUCGGGGGAAAGAUUUAUCGCUAAUGGAUGAGCCCGCGUAAGAUUAGGUAGUUGGUGGGGUAAAAGCCUACCAAGCCUACGAUCUUUAGCUGGUCUGAGAGGAUGAUCAGCCACACUGAAACUGAGACACGGUUCAGACUCCUACGGGAGGCAGCAGUCGGGAAUAUUGGACAAUGGGCGAAAGCCUGAUCCAGCCAUGCCGCGUGAGUGAUGAAGGCCUUAGGGUUGUAAAGCUCUUUUGUCAGGGAAGAUAAUGACGGUACCUGAAGAAUAAGUUCCGGCUAACUUCGUGCCAGCCGCCGCGGUAA